RNAcentral lists this small nuclear RNA (106 nucleotides) under Microcebus murinus (gray mouse lemur). Lineage: Eukaryota; Metazoa; Chordata; Mammalia; Primates; Cheirogaleidae. The record is from RNAcentral.
GUGCUCGGUUCGGCAGCACAUAUACUAAAAUUAGAAUGAUACAGAGAAGAUUAGCAUGGCCCCUUCAAAGGAUGACACGCAAAUUUGUGAAGCAUUCCAUAAAAAA